Molecule: non-coding RNA, 360 nt
Organism: Plutella xylostella (diamondback moth)
Lineage: Eukaryota; Metazoa; Arthropoda; Insecta; Lepidoptera; Plutellidae
Source: RefSeq, a predicted model, not a curated record
AAAUCAUCAUAUAAGCCAUCAUAAAUACUGUUUGGCCGCCAUUGUGUCUUUGACCACGCUCACCUAGCGCUCACUGAUUAUAAAUUAUUUGUUUUUGUGUAUUUUACGCUAAAUUUGACGUGAUUUUGUGCGUGAUGUCCGAUGACGUUGACUGAGAUAUCCCACAGCUGUUGCAGCAGUGGGGUUUACCUCAGUAUAUUGAUACGUUUCAAAAUUAUGAAAAUUACGAGGAAAUGGAGUCAAUAUAAUAAUGGUUUCUGGGAAACAUGCAGGACGAAAAAACAAUUAUGGCGACCAUCCAAAGCUAAGAAAAAAGGACACAUAUCAACACACAUAAAAUAAAUGUCAUUUUUCUAUGUA